GAUGAAGAACGUAGCGAAAUGCGAUAAGUAAUGCGAAUUGCAGAAUUCCAGUGAGUCAUCGAAUCUUUGAACGCACAUUGCGCCCUUUGGUAUUCCGAAGGGCAUGCCUGUUCGAGCGUCAUUAUCACCCCUCAAGCCCUCGGCUUGGUGUUGGACGGUUUGGUGGAGGCCCCCUCGGGGGCUCCUGCCCCUCCCAAAGACAAUGACGGCGGCCUCGUUGGACCCCCGGUACACUGAGUUCUUCACGGGACACGUAUCGGACACAUGGUUUACGGGACACGGUCUGCCUCCCCUCAGGGAGAAUCUUUCUAAGGUUGACCUCGGAUCAGGUAGGGAUACCCGCUGAACUUAAGCAUAUCAAUAAGCGGAGGA
This 372-nucleotide unclassified non-coding RNA is filed under the name soil metagenome. Its description in RNAcentral is "partial contains 5.8S ribosomal RNA, internal transcribed spacer 2, and large subunit ribosomal RNA". The stretch from base 1 to 121 matches the Rfam family "5.8S ribosomal RNA", at positions 35 to 154 of the family's 154-position model. The record is from RNAcentral.